AUGUCCUGCCCGAACGCCAGCACGGCGAUGGCCGAGAACGUCUGCAUGAUGCCCGGGAUGAAGAAGGCGAUGCGCCACGCGACGAAGUCCGUGCUGCCGAUCUUGCGGACGAUCUCGUACACGAGCGGCAUGAUGAACUGCACGGCGCCCCCGCCGAGGUUGCCCCAGCCUCCCGCGACGCCGUUGGCCAGCCCCACCUUGGGCGACGAGAACAUGGAGCUCAUCCAGAACUGCGUGGACACGAAGGAGGCGAGCGAGAAGCCCGUGAAGAAGCGCACGAGCAGGAAGGACGACGCGGAGUCGAUGAUGGCCGAGCAGUACACCGCGGGGGUGGUGAGCAGUAUGAUGGCCGCGGACGCCAGGCGGGGCCCGACCAGGUCGCAGGCCGUGCCCAUGGCGAGACGCGCGAACACGGCGCCGGACACGGACGCGAUCCCGGCGUUGCCGAUGUCCUUGCCCGUGAGGCCAAGGUUGUCCCGGAUGAGCGGCAGGAGCGGCGGCGCCGCGAAGGUGGAGACGAAGCAGCAGAAGAAGGAGAACCACGAGAGGUGGAAGGCGCUCAUGUGCGGCCUCGCGAACGAGAAGAGCCAGAACUCGGUGGCCUUGUUGUCCGAGUCCACCGGCAUCCUGAACUUGCCCUUGGGCGCCGCCUGCACCCCCAUCGCCGCCGGCUUCGACUCCCCCUCCAUCUCACCAGCUAGCUAG
RNAcentral lists this ribosomal RNA (705 nucleotides) under Triticum aestivum (bread wheat). Its description in RNAcentral is "partial small subunit ribosomal RNA". The record is from RNAcentral. Lineage: Eukaryota; Viridiplantae; Streptophyta; Magnoliopsida; Poales; Poaceae.